Molecule: ribosomal RNA, 253 nt
Filed under: uncultured bacterium
Lineage: Bacteria
Description: partial 16S ribosomal RNA
Rfam family: Bacterial small subunit ribosomal RNA
Source: RNAcentral
UACGUAGGGUGCGAGCGUUAAUCGGAAUUACUGGGCGUAAAGCGUGCGCAGGCGGUCUGUUAAGUCUGAUGUGAAAGCCCCGGGCUCAACCUGGGAACUGCAUUGGAAACUGGCAAGCUCGAGUAUGGCAGAGGGGGGUGGAAUUCCGCGUGUAGCAGUGAAAUGCGUAGAGAUGCGGAGGAACACCGAUGGCGAAGGCAGCCCCCUGGGCCAAUACUGACGCUCAGGCACGAAAGCGUGGGGAGCAAACAGG